Molecule: ribosomal RNA, 490 nt
Filed under: uncultured bacterium
Lineage: Bacteria
Description: partial 16S ribosomal RNA
Rfam family: Bacterial small subunit ribosomal RNA
Source: RNAcentral
AUUGAACGCUGGCGGCAUGCCUUACACAUGCAAGUCGAACGGCAGCAUGAUCUAGCUUGCUAGAUUGAUGGCGAGUGGCGAACGGGUGAGUAAUACAUCGGAACGUGCCCUGUAGUGGGGGAUAACUAGUCGAAAGAUUAGCUAAUACCGCAUACGACCUGAGGGUGAAAGUGGGGGGCCGCAAGGCCUCAUGCUAUAGGAGCGGCCGAUGUCUGAUUAGCUAGUUGGUGAGGUAAAGGCUCACCAAGGCGACGAUCAGUAGCUGGUCUGAGAGGACGAUAAGCCACACUGGGACUGAGACACGGCCCAGACUCCUACGGGAGGCAGCAGUGGGGAAUUUUGGACAAUGGGCGAAAGCCUGAUCCAGCAAUGCCGCGUGUGUGAAGAAGGCCUUCGGGUUGUAAAGCACUUUUGUCCGGAAAGAAAUGGCUCUGGUUAAUACCUGGGGUCGAUGACGGUACCGGAAGAAUAAGGACCGGCUAACUACGUG